Molecule: non-coding RNA, 567 nt
Organism: Schizosaccharomyces pombe (fission yeast)
Lineage: Eukaryota; Fungi; Ascomycota; Schizosaccharomycetes; Schizosaccharomycetales; Schizosaccharomycetaceae
Source: the annotation of a GenBank genome assembly
UGGCAAACUAAAUAACUUCUAUUUAUGUUAGCAAUAAAUCAAUGAAUGACUAUACUACCCACUUCCAUUCAGUCCUCUAUACUUGCAAAAUGAAAGACAAAACUAUGUAAAUACAUGUAAAACAUAUCUUUACCAAAAAUCGUAGCUACACGAUCAUCUGACUUAACAACUUUGCAAAAACAAUUCACCACAGAAAUAUUUUUUUUAAACAAGUAGUAAGUAAUUGCCAGCAAUAACUUUUAACGUGAAUUAUUUUUUUAAAAGUAAAACUAUCUGAAAAAAAAUUUACAUCAUGAGCUUACAAUAUCAAAAGUUAAAUAAAGAAAUAAGAAAAUAUUCGAAGAUUAAAAAGACGCCAGUUCAACGAAAAGAGAAGAGGCCUUUUAUUUCAACCUUCUACUAUAUCGGUUGAUUGAAAAUUGACCAGAGAAUUGAAUGUAUCUAACAGAUCAGAGUGUUUCAACCUUUGUCCAACAACGGACUUUAUACUGAUAAAUUUCACUUCAUGGUUUUAUUCAACCAAGUUCUUAUACAAAAAGCACCUCUACAAUUAAAUCAGAAAUCACA